UAAUUUUCUUUUGUCAUUUUCUUUUUUCUCUUUCUCUCACUCUUUUCUUACCUCUUCGUAAGCUCUGAUUCUUCUCUUUCACUCUCUUUGUCUCUGUCUCUUUCUCUCAUCUUCUUCUACAUGCCUCAAACAAUUUUUUUCUCAACCACUAUCACCAUAAACGAAUCUGUCUCAACCAACAUCACCAUAACCUAAUAUGUCUCAACCCCAUCAGCUCAAGCGAAAUCUGUCUCCUUUAUUUCCGAAUUUGUGUAAGUUGUUUUCGUUUAGACUCUCUCUAUUCAUCGUUGAUUCUAUCCUUAGAUAUGUUGAUAACAUUCAUUUUGUAUGUGUUUACAUACUGAUUUGCUUUAAUUGGAAUGUAUAUUAUCUGAUAAUCAAACUUAUUUAAUUAGAAUAUAUAUUAUCCGAUAAUCAAACUUUAUAAAUUUAAUUUACAGUCCAUUUAUUUGUGUAUUUAUGCUACUACUGUCCAACUAACAGUUUACAAUCAUUUUGACUAAGCCAAAGUGUACUCACAUAACAAGAAACAUUUGAUGCUUAAUGAACAUAACUUCUUUAUUCUUAAUUUAAACCAAUUUAUUCCAAAAUGUGUUUUAAUAAUAAAACUAUUCAACUAUUUUUGAAUUGUACUAAAUCCAUUAAUUAAUUUUUAAUGUUUUAAACUUUCAUUUACAAAUCGUUAAUGGAUGUAGACACAUUAAAAAUUUGUAAGUUGAGGGAUUACAACAUUAGAAAAAUAAUUAAUGAUUUUUUUUUACAAUUCAAAAAUAGUUGAAGGGUUUUAUCACUAAAAUCUCUUAUUUAAUUUAGAUUUAGGAAAUUAUUUGUCAAAAUAGGAAAAACAAAAAUUGAUUAAAUUUAGGUUUAGUUAUUACUUCAGUGGCUUAGAUCUGUAAAUAAGUUGCAAGUCUUAGGGUUAAUUCCAAAUAGUACUUCAGUUUUAAUAGUAUUGAUUGCCUAGCAAAAUGUGAAAUUCAACUUCUACUAUGAAUUAAAAAGCCAAAGAGAAACAAUGUUCAACACAGUAAGAAAAUGUUCCAUGGAAUCAUUACAUGGCUGAUUUAAAUGAUGUAAUUGGCUAAAAAAUUUAUGCUGAUGUGGACACUGUAAUGAUAAUACAGUAAAAAUUCAAUAAAUUAAUAUUCGAUAAAUUAAUAAACAUCAUAAUAAUAGAUCUUUCUGGUUUCAAGUGGAACCGAAUCAAAAUAUGACACAAAUCGAUAAGAUAGUAAGAUAAUAUUUUUAAAUUUUAUGUGUAUAUAUUUAUUUUCGAUCGUUAAUAAUAUUAUACACAAAAAUGAUAUAUGGUAUAGGAUUCUCUUGGUUUAAAAUUUGCUUGAAACUAAAUCAAAAAUACGUGUAAAUUAAGGUAAUAACCAAAAUCAAUGGUAAUCAUACAUACCAUAGAAAUUGUAUGUAAUCGUGUAAUUUUUUUUUUGAAAUUGGUAUCCAUACCAUUAAGAUUUGCAGAAAUGUCCACUGGUUAGAAAGUAUGGGGAUUAAACCCAUAAGGCCGAUUUGAUUUGUAUGUCCACAAGCCUGAUUUGCUUUUUAAAAAAACUGCAAAAAUAAUUAGUUGGUGACUAAAUUCAUAAACCCGAUUUAAUUUGUAGUGUUAAAUAUAUAGUUGUAAUUAUAUAAGCCAAAAAAUAAAAUUAAAACGUAAUGGAUGUUUUGCCGUUAAUAAGUGUUUAGUUCUCUUAGAAAUAGUAAUGGCAUAUUUGAAAAAAAAAUAGUAUUUCAUUAAAAGUAUACUUAUUACCUAACUAAAUAUAAUUUUGUUUAUAACUAUUUCAUUUAAUACUCUUUCAGUUUCUGAAUAAGUGUCACUUUGACAAUUUUCACAUAGACUAAAAAAAUAGCGGAAAUCUACGUAAAUUAUUAUUAAUUAAAUCUUUCUGACCAAUAAUAUUUGAGAUAAAUAAAAUUAUUUAUAAAACCAAUGCUGGUAAAAGAAUGUACAAAUCCAACUCCAAUAUAUAACAAGAACAAACAUUCUUGGUGAAAGAUUAAACAAAUAUGUAAACAAGUUUUCUUCCCUAUUUGAAUCUUUUCCAAAACAACCAUUUACCAUAAUCAGAGAGUCAGUAUAACACAUUGAGUAGCUGCCGUUGCUUCGCUUCAUCUGAGCGUAGUGAGUAGAUAUCCGAUGGAGCUGUGAUGCCUCCUUGCUGGAUCAGUUUACCAUUCUUCGGUUUGUGUUGAUCGAGAUAAACAACAACGACGCUUAUGUCGUCAUGGAAAUGUCUUCGAACCCCUCUGGCGAUUUUCUUCAUAUCUCCAUAUCUCAUUUCUCUCUUCUUUGCAGCUUCCUCGAGAGCUGCUCUUACAAGUCUUCGUGCGAUUCCCUGUAGACCACAGAGAGUUAGAAAUCUAAAAAGUAGCUGACACAAAAGAG
RNAcentral lists this long non-coding RNA (2401 nucleotides) under Brassica rapa (field mustard). RNAcentral's name for it is "long non-coding RNA (BRAP_LNC002334)". The record is from RNAcentral. Lineage: Eukaryota; Viridiplantae; Streptophyta; Magnoliopsida; Brassicales; Brassicaceae.